GAUGAACGCUGGCGGCGUGCUUAACACAUGCAAGUCGAACGAAGCACUUUAUUUGAUUUCCUUCGGGACUGAUUAUUUUGUGACUGAGUGGCGGACGGGUGAGUAACGCGUGGGUAACCUGCCUUGUACAGGGGGAUAACAGUUGGAAACGGCUGCUAAUACCGCAUAAGCGCACGGCAUCGCAUGAUGCAGUGUGAAAAACUCCGGUGGUAUAAGAUGGACCCGCGUUGGAUUAGCUAGUUGGUGUGGCAACGGCCCACCAAGGCGACGAUCCAUAGCCGACCUGAGAGGGGGCCCGGCCACAUUGGGACUGAGACCCGGCCCAAACUCCUACGGGAGGCAGCAGUGGGGACUAUUGCACAAUGGGCGAAAGCCUGAUGCAGCGACGCCGCGUGAGCGAAGAAGUAUUUCGGUAUGUAAAGCUCUAUCAGCAGGGAAGAUAAUGACGGUACCUGACUAAGAAGCACCGGCUAAAUACGUG
RNAcentral lists this ribosomal RNA (481 nucleotides) under uncultured bacterium. RNAcentral describes it as "partial 16S ribosomal RNA". It matches the Rfam family "Bacterial small subunit ribosomal RNA", at positions 28 to 507 of the family's 1533-position model. The record is from RNAcentral.